CAGCCGCCGCGGUAAUACGUAGGUGGCAAGCGUUGUCCGGAAUUAUUGGGCGUAAAGCGCGCGCAGGUGGUUUAAUAAGUCUGAUGUGAAAGCCCACGGCUCAACCGUGGAGGGUCAUUGGAAACUGUUAAACUUGAGUGCAGGAGAGAAAAGUGGAAUUCCUAGUGUAGCGGUGAGAUGCGUAGAGAUUAGGAGGAACACCAGUGGCGAAGGCGGCUUUUUGGCCUGUAACUGACACUGAGGCGCGAAAGCGUGGGGAGCAAACAGGAUUAGAUACCCCCGUAGUCCCUGUCUCUUAUAC
Molecule: ribosomal RNA, 301 nt
Filed under: uncultured bacterium
Lineage: Bacteria
Description: partial 16S ribosomal RNA
Rfam family: Bacterial small subunit ribosomal RNA
Source: RNAcentral